RNAcentral lists this small RNA (321 nucleotides) under Histoplasma ohiense. RNAcentral describes it as "hypothetical lncRNA". Lineage: Eukaryota; Fungi; Ascomycota; Eurotiomycetes; Onygenales; Ajellomycetaceae. The record is from RNAcentral.
CAUGCCUGGGUUGCCUCUGACUAACUUAUAUAGUUACUCAACAGAUGUAUGUCCAAAAAUGUUCCUAAAUGCCUGUUUGCCUCGACCGAUAUAUAUUGCCACCGAAAGGUUGAGGCGCUCGCCUUUGACGGAUCAUUUCUGUUAGAUUAGCUGUCCAACAGUGCAAUUUCAAGUGCAGCUCGGGGAUUUGAUCCCCUAUCAUUCUAGAGUCGCCAGAAUUUACCGAUGCUCAAAAUCGAAUAUCGGGAAUCUUGAAGUUCCAUCAUCCAUCAUCGUCAUCAUCAUGCUCAAAACGAAUGUCCUUUCCAGUUGUUGUCCGGU